GAUGAACGCUGGCGGCGUGCCUAAUACAUGCAAGUCGAACGCACCAUUUCGGUGGUGAGUGGCGAACGGGUGAGUAACACGUAGGUAACCUGCCCUUAAGACGAGGAUAACCAAGGGAAACUUUGGCUAAAACUGGAUAGGAACAUUGGAGGCAUCUCUGAUGUUUUAAAAGACCUAGCAAUAGGUAUGCUUAAGGAGGGGCCUGCGGCGCAUUAGUUAGUUGGUGAGGUGAAGGCUUACCAAGACGAUGAUGCGUAGCCGGACUGAGAGGUUGAACGGCCACAUUGGGACUGAGAAACGGCCCAAACUCCUACGGGAGGCAG
Molecule: ribosomal RNA, 323 nt
Filed under: uncultured Mycoplasmatota bacterium
Lineage: Bacteria; Bacillati; Mycoplasmatota
Description: bacterial SSU rRNA
Rfam family: Bacterial small subunit ribosomal RNA
Source: RNAcentral